Molecule: small nuclear RNA, 100 nt
Filed under: Ursus maritimus (polar bear)
Lineage: Eukaryota; Metazoa; Chordata; Mammalia; Carnivora; Ursidae
Source: RNAcentral
UUGCUUCAGCAGCACAUAUACUAAAAUUGGAACAAUACAGAGAUUAGUGUGGCCCCUGUGCAAGGAUGAGAUGCAGAUUUGUGAAGCAUUCCAUAUUUUU